Lineus longissimus is the source of this 2192-nucleotide long non-coding RNA. RefSeq lists it as uncharacterized. The transcript is spliced from 2 exons. Lineage: Eukaryota; Metazoa; Nemertea; Pilidiophora; Heteronemertea; Lineidae. The record is from RefSeq and is a predicted model, not a curated record.
CCGGCCACCACGACCAACUUUCCGAGCACGCAAAUUAUUGAAUAUACUCAAUCCAGGCCAAGUUAGAUCGAAUGAAUGAUGAGUUUCUUUUCAACGACAGACCAGUAGGGCCUAGCUGAAAUUGACACCAUUUUCUAAUCGCAAUGGUCAGGACAUCUCAGGCAUGUGAGGCCUUCUUACACGGUGCGGGUUCGAACAGGAUCGAGGAAGGUUUGCUUUUUUGCACGCUGAUAGGAACCGAUUUUGCGUGUAGAAAAUACCCGAACCUUCCUCGGUCCGGUUUAAACCCGCACCGUAUAAAAAGGCCUAUUGACAAAGACAGGCACAUUCUGUCACAGUUUGGCUCACUGGUCAAUUCAAGAUGAAGAUUUUACCCGCAAUUUUGGCAUUUAGUCUUCUCACAUCUGUGCUCAUGAUGGAAAAUGCUGAUGAUGUUGAUGAUGAUGCCUACCCUCGACGUCAUAGGUAUUAUUCUUUAUCAGAAAAAAUCCGUCUGUUAGAUGACUUUCAUGCUGCUGACAUUUUAAGGCAGCCUCGUGGGAUUACAGCCACUGACUUUGCAAGGGAAUAUAACAUCCCUCGAAGGACGAUGCGACGAUGGCUCAAUGAAGAAGAAGAAAUUCGAGAGAGGCACCGUGAGGCCAGCAAUCGGCAAGCUAGAAUGCAUCGACAAAGACAAAGAGGCGUAGCCCUCUGGCCCGAGGUUGAUCGUUUGGUUACAGAGUGGAUGCACGAACGACGUGGACAAGGACUCCCAGUGUCCGGGGAGGACUUGAUGAUGCAAAGCCAGCGUGAGUUUAAUGGAUGGUGGGCGGAGCUACCUGAAGACCAACAAGAAGAAUACCGCAUGAACAGACCUCACUAUGCUGAAUUUAAAGCCUCAAGAGGAUGGUUAUGUGAGAAUGAUGGGUAUCUCCUUUCAAAGUAUGAGGCCCGUUCACCUUUAAGUGGGAGUGUUUUUGCAAAUGAGCUAAAUUUGUGGCCUCUCAAUUAAACAACUUUAAUUGCAUUCUUUUCAAGUUUAAAACGAAAUGAUAAAAAUAACUUUUAUAUUGUAGCAACUAGGGAAAGGUAAACGACACAAAGCACAAGUAAAACAUAAUGUGUACUUUUAAGAUCUACGGUAUAUACAGUACGUGAGGUUAUUCAAGUUUGGCUUUUUAGCUCACCUCUUAGCAUAGGUGAGCUUAUCCCAUACCGUGGCGUCCGUCGUCAGUCGUCGUCGUCGUCGUCCGUCGUCGUCCGUCGUCCGUUAGCAGGGCACGUUUCGUAACUGUUAGAGCUAUUGAGUUGAAACUUGGUACACAUGUACCCUUAUGUAAUGACACCUUGGAGACCAAGUUUCGGUCCGAUUCGUUUCAUGGUUUGGCCACCAGGGGGCCAAACGUUAAAAGUGAAAAUAUGCAAUAUCUCCCUUAAUAGUAGUCGGGUGAUUUUGAAAAAAAUAUGGUAGGUACUUCUAGCAAAGGUGCAUCAUAUAUCCUCCGGGUUUUUGAUUUGACCCCCUUUUCAAGGUCACAGAGGUCAAAUGGUGUAAAUUGGCCGUUAGGAUGUAACGAUGGCACGUUUCUAAACUGCAAUGACUAUUGAUACCAAAUUUGGUACACAUUUACCCCUUAGUCAGGUGAUCUCAGGGACCGAAGUUUGGUCCAAUAUGAUUCACCACUUGACCACCAAAUCCAAAAACCUUAAAAAUGUGAUUAUUCCUUACCUUCUUGCCCGAUUGCCACCAAUUUGAUAUCAUGGGUACAUCUAACCACCAUACAGUACAGUGGAACCCCGGUCGGCGACCACCUCAGUAACGCGACCACCCCGCGAACACGACCAAAAUUCUCCGGUCCCGAAUGGUUUUCUCUCUAAUUCCCAUUAACUGGCCCUUGCUAACACGACCACCCCGGUACCCAGACCGCGACCACCAGCUUGGUCGGUCCCAAACUGCAAAUUAACCCCGCUAACGCGACCAUGAGGCCUAAUUGCCGUAAUCAACCAUGACUGCAUGGUAUCAAUUGGCACCUUCUUGCAAAUCCGUGUUGAUAAUUAGCACCUCGAACACAAUGACCAUGGGAAUCCAUAUGAAAAUAAAUGAUGUGUAAGUGAGUUUGAUCUUGGAGGAACUAUACUUCAAGUAUAAUUCCUCCAAGGUUUGAUCAAAUGUAAGCGCAAAUAAAAUGAAGAAUAAACUUUCUUUUCGA